RNAcentral lists this ribosomal RNA (468 nucleotides) under uncultured bacterium. Its description in RNAcentral is "partial 16S ribosomal RNA". It matches the Rfam family "Bacterial small subunit ribosomal RNA", at positions 28 to 507 of the family's 1533-position model. The record is from RNAcentral.
GACGAACGCUGGCGGCGUGCUUAACACAUGCAAGUCGAACGGAAAGGCCCUGCUUUUGUUGGGUGCUCGAGUGGCGAACGGGUGAGUAACACGUGAGUAACCUGCCCUUUACUUUGGGAUAACUUCAGGAAACUGGUGCUAAUACCUGAUAGGAGCUCCUGCUGCAUGGUGGGGGUUGGAAAGUUUCGGCGGUUGGGGAUGGACUCGCGGCUUAUCAGCUUGUUGGUGGGGUAGUGGCUUACCAAGGCUUUGACGGGUGGCCGGCCUGAGAGGGUGACCGGCCACAUUGGGACUGAGAUACGGCCCAGACUCCUACGGGAGGCAGCAGUGGGGAAUAUUGCACAAUGGGCGGAAGCCUGAUGCAGCAACGCCGCGUGCGGGAUGACGGCCUUCGGGUUGUAAACCGCUUUCGCCUGUGACGAAGCGUGAGUGACGGUAAUGGGUAAAGAAGCACCGGCUAACUACGUG